AAUCAUAAUUAUUUAUUUUGAUUUUUUAUUUAUUGUCAACGCUAUCAAUACUUAAUCACCACUGCUAUUACCAUCAUUACUCUUACCUUAUCACCACCACUACCGCUAUCAUCGCUAUCACCAUCACUUGAUCACUGUUAUUAUCAUUUAACUACAGCUACCUCUAUCCUCACUUGGCUACUAUCACUACCACAUUUUGCCACUAUCACUAUCUAAUCA
Molecule: unclassified non-coding RNA, 219 nt
Filed under: Hevea brasiliensis (rubber tree)
Lineage: Eukaryota; Viridiplantae; Streptophyta; Magnoliopsida; Malpighiales; Euphorbiaceae
Source: RNAcentral